Molecule: long non-coding RNA, 357 nt
Filed under: Rattus norvegicus (Norway rat)
Lineage: Eukaryota; Metazoa; Chordata; Mammalia; Rodentia; Muridae
Description: long non-coding RNA NONRATT033818
Source: RNAcentral
CUGAAAGCAAUUUAAAUUUUAAUGAUGAAUAUUAGGAAAGUGAUUAUUUCAUUAUGUUCAUCUUCAGCUUAUGUGAAGCCACAUUUGCCAAGACACUCAAGAACUCACAUCACUCCUGCAAGAAUGCCACUUUGUGAAUACAAAAGGAAACUUCACUAUCAGCUCAAUGUCUGUGUUGGUAUCUUUGUGAGAUACCAACCUGAAACUGGCAAGACCACCAAGAGAAGGAUCCAGACAGCGAGUGGAGAAUUAUUGGAGAUCAUCAGCUUCAGUGAAACAGGAAAUGUUGCCUGAGUCCUAUACUACUCAACAGAGGGAUAAAUGUGGAAAUUGAGAAGCAAAAGGGCCUCUGCUAUG